This 112-nucleotide ribosomal RNA is filed under the name uncultured eukaryote. Its description in RNAcentral is "partial small subunit ribosomal RNA". It matches the Rfam family "Eukaryotic small subunit ribosomal RNA", at positions 1676 to 1785 of the family's 1831-position model. The record is from RNAcentral.
UCGCUACUACCGAUUGAAUGAUUUAGUGAGAUAUUUGGACUGGGUAUUGCAGGCGCUUCGGCAUUUGCUUUAUCCGGAAAGAAAAUCAAACUGAAUCCUUUAGAGGAAGUAA